AUGGAUGAUAUCCGUAUAUGGGCGUCUUACCGGGGUCAAACACUUGCCAGAACUGUGAGAGGGAUGAUGUACUAUAGACGAGCUCUUGAAGUGCAAUGCUAUGAGGAUAUGAAAAGUGAACAAGGGCUAAGGAAAAGCUGGCGGGAAAUACCAUGUUCCUGCCGGGUUUUUUCUUUUGAAGAGGGGGGAGGGGGGGAGUUAGAUCGAUUACCUAUUUGGCUAUUCAUGCCGAAGUUUGAAGUUCCUCACAGGGUACGAUUCCACUAUGGUCACCCUGAUGUUUUCGAUAGAAUCUUUCACAUCACAAGGGGUGGCAUAAGCAAGGCCUCAAAGGUUAUUAACCUCAGUGAGGACAUCUUUGCAGGAUUCAAUUCAACCCUGCGACAAGGAACUGUUACCCAUCAUGAAUACAUACAGUUGGGUAAAGGACGUGAUGUUGGAAUGAACCAAAUAUCCAACUUUGAGGCCAAGGUGGCAAACGGUAAUGGUGAACAAACUCUAUGUCGUGAUGUUUACCGACUAGGACACAGAUUCGAUUUCUACAGGAUGUUGUCUAUGUACUUCACCACAGUUGGCCUCUACUUCAAUAGCAUGGUGGCUGUUCUUACGGUGUAUGUAUUUUUAUAUGGGCGGUUGUAUCUUGUUUUGAGUGGCCUAGAAAAGUCGAUUCUCCAUGAUCCACGGAUUAAAAACAUCAAACCCUUUGAAAAUGCACUUGCCACCCAAUCGGUAUUCCAACUUGGGACGUUGCUCAUCCUCCCGAUGAUAAUGGAGGUCGGCUUGGAGAAAGGGUUUGGUAAAGCCCUGGCUGAGUUUAUAAUCAUGCAACUUCAGUUAGCUCCUAUGUUCUUCACUUUUCAUCUCGGGACAAAGACUCACUACUAUGGAAGGACUAUACUUCAUGGUGGUGCAAAAUAUAGAGGAACAGGCCGGGGUUUUGUUGUACGCCAUGCGAAAUUUGCUGAGAAUUACAGAAUGUACUCACGGAGCCACUUUGUGAAAGCAUUGGAGCUGCUCAUCCUCUUGGUUGUUUAUCUAGCAUACGGGAGUUCUUACAGGAGCUCGAGUUUGUAUGUAUACGUCACAAUUUCGAUGUGGUUCCUUGUUUUCUGCUGGCUGUUUGCACCUUUUAUCUUCAACCCAUCAUGCUUUGAGUGGCACAAGACGGUUGAUGACUGGACUGAUUGGUGGAAGUGGAUGAGCAAUAGGGGUGGUAUUGGGCUGGCACCUGAGCAAAGUUGGGAGGCUUGGUGGGUGAGUGAACAUGAGCACCUAAAGAAUGGAACAAUACGUAGCUUGCUCUUGGAGCUGGUUCUGUCGCUGCGCCUCCUGAUCUACCAAUAUGGUAUUGUGUACCACUUGCACAUAGUGCACGAGAACAAAAGCUUCAUGAUAUAUGCACUAUCGUGGCUGGUUAUUGGCAUCGUUCUUGUUUUGCUAAAGGUUGUUUCACUGGGGAGAGAGAAGUUUGUUACCAAGUUUCAGCUUGUGUUCCGUAUACUCAAGGGCAUUGUGUUUCUUGUCCUCAUCGGCUUGAUGGUGGUCUUAUUUGUUGGUUUUGAUCUCGCUGUGUCAGACGUUGGCGCCAGUGUCUUGGCCUUCAUCCCAACUGUCUGGUUUAUUCUUUUGAUGGCACAAGUGUGUGGACCGCUGUUUCGGAGGUUAGUGAUUGAGCCACUUGGCGUGCUGUGUUGCUCCUGCUGCCCUGGUGGAGCAUGCCGAGGGCCUUGCUGCGCCAAGUUGAGGCAGAGUGGGGCUGUGCUCUGUAAGAUAGGGCCAUGGGACUCCAUCCAAGAGAUGGCAAGGAUGUACGAGUAUACCAUGGGGAUCCUCAUCUUCCUGCCCAUCGCCGUCCUCUCGUGGUUCCCCUUCAUGUCAGAGUUCCAGACGCGUCUGCUCUUCAACCAAGCCUUCAGCCGGGGCCUGCAGAUCUCGAGGAUCCUCGCUUACCAAGCGUGA
This 1959-nucleotide ribosomal RNA is filed under the name Triticum aestivum (bread wheat). RNAcentral describes it as "partial small subunit ribosomal RNA". The record is from RNAcentral. Lineage: Eukaryota; Viridiplantae; Streptophyta; Magnoliopsida; Poales; Poaceae.